AUGACGCUGGCGGCAGGCUACACAUGCAUUCAAACGGUAACAGGAUGUGCUUGCACAUCGCUGACGAGUGGCGGACGGGUGAGUAAUGCUUAGGGAUCUGCCUCUGUGUGGGGGAUAACUAUUGGAAACGAUAGCUAAUACCGCAUAAUGUUUACGCGACCCAAGGGGGCGUUUGCUCCCGCGCAAGAGGAACCUAAGUGAGAUUAGCUAGUUGGUAAGGUAAUGGCUUACCAAGGCGACGAUCUCUAGCUGUUCUGAGAGAGAAGAUCAGCCACACUGGGACUGAGACACGGCCCAGACUCCUACGGGAGGCACGCAGUGGGGAAUAUUUGCACAAUGGGGGGAACCCUGAUUGCAGCCAUGCCGCGUGUGUGAAGAACGCCUUCGGGUUGUAAGCCACUUUCAGAUUGUAGAGGACAAGGUUAGUAGGUUCAUACCUGCUA
RNAcentral lists this ribosomal RNA (443 nucleotides) under uncultured Gammaproteobacteria bacterium. RNAcentral describes it as "bacterial SSU rRNA". It matches the Rfam family "Bacterial small subunit ribosomal RNA", at positions 32 to 471 of the family's 1533-position model. The record is from RNAcentral. Lineage: Bacteria; Pseudomonadati; Pseudomonadota; Gammaproteobacteria.